RNAcentral lists this ribosomal RNA (520 nucleotides) under uncultured Entrophospora. RNAcentral's name for it is "SSU rRNA". It matches the Rfam family "Eukaryotic small subunit ribosomal RNA", at positions 569 to 1083 of the family's 1831-position model. Lineage: Eukaryota; Fungi; Glomeromycota; Glomeromycetes; Entrophosporales; Entrophosporaceae. The record is from RNAcentral.
AGCAGCCGCGGUAAUUCCAGCUCCAAUAGCGUAUAUUAAAGUUGUUGCAGUUAAAAAGCUCGUAGUUGAAUUUCGGGAUUGACCCAUCGGUCGUGCCUUAAGGGGUAUGAACUGGUGUAGUCAAUUUCUCACCUUCUGGAGAACCGUGAUGUCCUUAAUUGGGUGCCACGAGGAACCAGGACCUUUACUUUGAAAAAAUUAGAGUGUUUAAAGCAGGCAUUUUUGCUUGAAUACAUUAGCAUGGAAUAAUAAAAUAGGACGGCAUGAUUCUAUUUUGUUGGUUUCUAGGAUCACCGUAAUGAUUAAUAGGGAUAGUUGGGGGCAUUAGUAUUCAAUUGUCAGAGGUGAAAUUCUCGGAUUUAUUGAAGACUAACUACUGCGAAAGCAUUUGCCAAGGAUGUUUUCAUUAAUCAAGAACGAAAGUUAGGGGAUCGAAGACGAUCAGAUACCGUCGUAGUCUUAACCAUAAACUAUGCCGACUAGGAAUCAGACGAUGUUAAUUUUUUAAUGACUCGUUUGG